This is a long non-coding RNA of Corvus hawaiiensis (hawaiian crow), 313 nucleotides long. RefSeq lists it as uncharacterized. NCBI's taxonomy places the organism in Eukaryota, Metazoa, Chordata, Aves, Passeriformes, Corvidae. The record is from RefSeq and is a predicted model, not a curated record. The transcript has 4 exons.
GUCUUAAUUUUUAGGAAGUAAAGCCAGGUAUCACCAAUCAAUGUCAAAUGAGUGAGGUGGUCCACUUUUUUAUGCUGAAUCGCCUUGCCACCGGCUGAUGGACCCGGCUCGCCGCCAUCGUGAGCCUGUUGGAAGUAUCACGGGACUCUGUGACGGAGCCUUGACCUUUUCCAUUUGAAGGUAUGCCCUGUGACGGCGGCGUCAGACUGGGAGUGCGGCCGGAGCAUGUGGCCCGAGGGCCCUGGCCAUUUUAGGAGAUGCCAACUAAGAGACAACAGCCCGGUGACGGCAGGAACUUCCCAGAUGGCGAGAC